This 457-nucleotide ribosomal RNA is filed under the name uncultured bacterium. RNAcentral describes it as "bacterial SSU rRNA". It matches the Rfam family "Bacterial small subunit ribosomal RNA", at positions 340 to 786 of the family's 1533-position model. The record is from RNAcentral.
UACGGAAGGCAGCAGUGGGGAAUAUUGCACAAUGGGCGCAAGCCUGAUGCAGCCAUGCCGCGUGUAUGAAGAAGGCCUUCGGGUUGUAAAGUACUUUCAGUCGUGAGGAAGGUGUUAAGGUUAAUAACCUUAGCAAUUGACGUUAGCGACAGAAGAAGCACCGGCUAACUCCGUGCCAGCAGCCGCGGUAAUACGGAGGGUGCGAGCGUUAAUCGGAAUUACUGGGCGUAAAGGGCACGCAGGCGGUUAAUUAAGUUGGAUGUGAAAUCCCCGGGCUUAACCUGGGAAUGGCAUUCAAGACUGGUUAGCUAGAGUCUUGUAGAGGGGGUAGAAUUCCAUGUGUAGCGGUGAAAUGCGUAGAGAUGUGGAGGAAUACCGGUGGCGAAAGGCGGCCCCUGGACAAAGGACUGACGUUCAUGUGCGAAAGCGUGGGGAGCGAAAACAGGGAUUAGAUACC